RNAcentral lists this long non-coding RNA (1311 nucleotides) under Scophthalmus maximus (turbot). RNAcentral describes it as "lncRNA (ENSSMAG00000032669.1)". The record is from RNAcentral. Lineage: Eukaryota; Metazoa; Chordata; Actinopteri; Pleuronectiformes; Scophthalmidae.
AAGGAUCAUCACAGAUUAUAUUCUCACAUCAUCACGUCUAGAGCAGCGACGUCAGAUCAGAUCAGAGGAUCAGACGCUCGGAGGCGUCGGCCUGACGGAUCAUCACAGAUCAACCUCCUCCUACUUCCUCAUCACUUCAUCCUUCAUCCUCAUCACUUCAUCCUUUAUCCUACAUCCUCAUCACUUCAUCCUUUAUCCUUCAUCCUACAUCCUCAUCACUUCAUCCUUUAUCCUUCAUCCUACAUCCUACAUCCUCAUCACUUCAUCCUUUAUCCUUCAUCCUACAAAGUCAUCACUUCAUCCUCAUCACUUCAUCCUUUAUCCUUCAUCCUACAAACUCAUCACUUCAUCCUCAUCACUUCAUCCUUUAUCCUACAUCCUCAUCACUUCAUCCUUUAUCCUUCAUCCUACAUCCUCAUCACUUCAUCCUUUAUCCUUCAUCCUACAUCCUACAUCCUCAUCACUUCAUCCUUUAUCCUUCAUCCUACAAACUCAUCGCUUCAUCCUCAUCACUUAAUUUUCAUCCUACAUCCUGAUCACUUCCUCCUUCAUCCUCAUCACUUCAUCCUUCAUCCUGAUCACUUCAUCCUACAUCCUCAUCACUUCAUCCUACAUCCUCAUCACUUCAUCCUUAUCACUUCAUCCUUCAUCCUACAUCCUCAUCACUUCCUCCUUCAUCCUCAUCACUUCAUCCUUAUCACUUCAUCCUACAUCCUCAUCACUUCAUCCUUCAUCCUACAUCCUCAUCACUUCAUCCUUCACCUUCAUCCUAAUCACUACAUUCGUUAUCUUUCAUCCUACAUCCUCAUCACUUUAUCCUUCAUCCUCAUCACUUCAUCCUACAUCCUCAUCACUGCAUCCUUAUCACUUCAUCCUUCAUCCUACAUCCUCAUCACUUCAUCCUUCACCUUCAUCCUAAUCACUACAUUCGUUAUCUUUCAUCCUACAUCCUCAUCACUUCAUCCUUCAUCCUCAUCACUUCAUCCUACAUCCUCAUCACUGCAUCCUUAUCACUUCAUACUUCAUCCUACAUCCUCAUCACUUCCUCCUUCAUCCUCAUCACUUCAUCCUACAUCCUCAUCACUUCAUCCUACAUCCUCAUCACUUCAUCCUCAUCACUUCAUCCUUCAUCCCUCCUUCCCUGACAUCUUUGGCCUCAGGACCACGUUCAGCUGGUUUUUCGAUAAACAAACAUCUUUCAACUGUUCUCAAAUUUUCUUUUUCAGACGAACUCAGUUGACCGUCAUUUGCCACGAAGAAAAACAUUUAAUUCAGAAGCUUUUUCUCAAAAAAUUACUUUUCAAUUAUUAG